Regulatory RNA element from Dethiosulfatibacter aminovorans DSM 17477, 107 nucleotides. It matches the Rfam family "Glycine riboswitch aptamer". Rfam says of the family: This family represents the bacterial glycine riboswitch. Glycine riboswitches usually consist of two metabolite-binding aptamers domains with similar structures in tandem. The aptamers cooperatively bind glycine to regulate the expression of downstream genes. NCBI's taxonomy places the organism in Bacteria, Bacillati, Bacillota, Tissierellia. The record is from Rfam.
UUGAAGCAGACGGGAGAGACCGCGUUAAAUCGCGGCGCCGAAGGAAUAAGCCUCUUUCUAUACCGGUAGGAGGUGACGAUCUCAGGCAAAAGGACCGUUUGUGGACA